CCUACGGGUGGCAGCAGUGAGGAAUAUUGGUCAAUGGGCGCUAGCCUGAACCAGCCAAGUAGCGUGAAGGAUGACUGCCCUAUGGGUUGUAAACUUCUUUUAUAUAGGAAUAAAGUGCAGUAUGUAUACUUCUUUGCAUGUACCUUAUGAAUAAGGAUCGGCUAACUCCGUGCCAGCAGCCGCGGUAAUACGGAGGAUCCGAGCGUUAUCCGGAUUUAUUGGGUUUAAAGGGAGCGUAGUCGGGUUGUUAAGUCAGUUGUGAAAGUUUGCGGCUCAACCGUAAAAUUGCAAUUGAUACUGGCAUCCUUGAGUACAGUAGAGGUAGGCGGAAUUCGUGGUGUAGCGGUGAAAUGCUUAGAUAUCACGAAGAACUCCGAUUGCGAAGGCAGCCUGCUGGACUGUAACUGACGCUGAUGCUCGAAAGUGUGGGUAGCAAACAGGAUUAGAUACCCUGGUAGUC
This 460-nucleotide ribosomal RNA is filed under the name uncultured bacterium. RNAcentral's name for it is "partial 16S ribosomal RNA". It matches the Rfam family "Bacterial small subunit ribosomal RNA", at positions 338 to 795 of the family's 1533-position model. The record is from RNAcentral.